CCUUAUACGACCGUACCGCAAACCGACACUGGUGCGCGAGAUGAGUAUUCUAAGGCGCUUGAGAGAACUCAGGAGAAGGAACUCGGCAAAUUGACACCGUAACUUCGGAAGAAGGUGUGCCCUAUUAGUGUGUAGUGAACAACGAAGCAUGAAUGGGUUGCAAAAAAUCGGUGGCUGCGACUGUUUAUUAAAAACACAGCACUCUGCAAACACGAAAGUGGACGUAUAGGGUGUGACGCCUGCCCGGUGCUGGAAGAUUAAAUGAUGGGGUGCAAGCUCUUGAUUGAAGUCCCAGUAAACGGCGGCCGUAACGAUAUCGGUCCUAAGGUAGCGAAAUUCCUUGUCGGGUAAGUUCCGACCUGCACGAAUGGCGUAACGAUGGCCACACUGUCUCCUCCUGAGACUCAGCGAAGUUGAAAUGUUUGUGAUGAUGCAAUCUCCCCGCGGAAAGACGGAAAGACCCCAUGAACCUUUACUGUAGCUUUGUAUUGGACUUUGAACAGAUCUGUGUAGGAUAGGUGGGAGGCUUUGAAGCAGGGUCGCUAGAUCUUGUGGAGCCAACGUUGAAAUACCACCCUGGUGUGUUUGAGGUUCUAACCUAGGUCCAUUAUCUGGAUCGGGGACAGUGCAUGGUAGGCAGUUUGACUGGGGCGGUCUCCUCCCAAAGCGUAACGGAGGAGUUCGAAGGUACGCUAGUUACGGUCGGACAUCGUGACGAUAGUGCAAUGGCAUAAGCGUGCUUAACUGCGAGACUGACAAGUCGAGCAGAUGCGAAAGCAGGACAUAGUGAUCCGGUGGUUCUGUAUGGAAGGGCCAUCGCUCAACGGAUAAAAGGUACUCUGGGGAUAACAGGCUGAUACCGCCCAAGAGUUCAUAUCACGGCGGUGUUUGGCACCUCGAUGUCGGCUCAUCUCAUCCUGGGGCUGUAGCCGGUCCCAAGGGUAUGGCUGUUCGCCAUUUAAAGAGGUACGUGAGCUGGGUUUAAAACGUCGUGAGACAGUUUGGUCCCUAUCUUCCGUGGGCGCUGCAGAUUUGAGGAAGCCUGCUCCUAGUACGAGAGGACCGGAGUGGACACACCUCUGGUGUAUCGGUUGUCACGCCAGUGGCAUUGCCGAGUAGCUAAGUGUGGAAGAGAUAACCGCUGAAAGCAUCUAAGCGGGAAACUCGUUUCAAGAUGAGAUCUGCCGGGGCCUUGAGCCCCCUAAAGAGUCGUUCAAGACCAGGACGUUGAUAGGUCAGGUGUGGAAGC
Molecule: ribosomal RNA, 1249 nt
Filed under: metagenome
Description: bacterial LSU rRNA
Rfam family: Bacterial large subunit ribosomal RNA
Source: RNAcentral